Molecule: long non-coding RNA, 2964 nt
Organism: Vicia villosa (hairy vetch)
Lineage: Eukaryota; Viridiplantae; Streptophyta; Magnoliopsida; Fabales; Fabaceae
Exons: 3
Source: RefSeq, a predicted model, not a curated record
CAAAUUUGUGAAAAGAAAAUUGGGACCUCACUCAAUAUUCGCGACUGUCACCUACUACCGUCGUAUUACACGGAAAUUAAAAAAGCGUUUCAAUAUAAUUUGGUGCCCGCGUAAACAUUUUUCUUUUUUUUACAUAUCUUUCAAAAGCCCUAAAUCAUCUCUCUGGUACGAUCGAAUACAAUUGUUGCUUAUCAAAAAAAAAAAAAAACAAAACACCAAAAUUUAUAUUCCUUUGAAAUCUCUUUCAUUCUUCUUUAGCAUAUCAAGUGAGUCCUUUCUCAGUAUAUCAAAUCUCUUCAUCUCCUUCUACUUUUGAUUUAGGUAGUAAAUUGAAUCUAUUUUUAAUUGAGGUACAACAUCCAAUUAGUUUUAAGUGAAACUUUUGUCUCAAUUCAAUGGAAUCAAUUGAAUGUAAAACGCAGUCGGAGUUGGUCGUUCAUAGGAAAGAAAGCCGCCGGAAAUAGUGAGAAAUUACAGGUUCUCCUCCUUUUUUUUCCAGUUUUUCCUUCGUCUCUCCCGACACUUCUCUGUAGCGCCCACGACAAUGAAAUUUCAUCAUGGUAAGCAGCCACGAUAGCACCACGUAGCUGUAGAGCUUCACUCCGCCUAGCAGAUGCACACUAAUGCCGCAAUUUGUAUAUUCGAAUUGAAAAUGGCAAAGAAGAAUUCCAGAUUCCAAAUGAUGAUGAUGAUGAUGAUGAUGAAGAUGCAGCUUAUUUUUGUUCUAGAAGGUUAAAAUCUAGUUGCAUACUCAAAGCAUUGCAUGUCAAUCCCGCUUCUGGUGUAUCUAUUGAUAAAGGUGUUGAAGUCUUGAAGCCAUCUUUAAGGUAUAUAUUGUAGCUGCAUGGAAAUAUUAAAAUUAUUACUAUAUGAACUAACCAUACAAAAAGAGACAAGGUUACUAAUAAAUGGUCUCCUGCCACAUUGCAAGAGAAAACAACCAUACAAAAAUAUGCCAAAAACUAACAUAACAUAAUAGCAACAUACUAGAAAAUAAACAGAAUAAUUGUAACAAUUCCUUACUAUUAGCUGAACCCCCUUGUCUGAAUCAUCAGUAGCUAGUUUAUUCCUCUGCUCAGUAUUACCACGUUUCCUAAUGUACAUACUACACUCCAAAUGCAGGCCUUAGUAUUAUGUGUCAGUUGUCUAACACUGUAUGUAUGCUUUAUUUACCCUUAGCUUGUACUACUUAAUAUAAAACUCUGUAUUCUAUAAUUCAGUCUACAUCUCUUUAUUUUAAUUAUCAUCUUUUAGUUUUCAUUGCCUUAAGAACCAAGCAAUUCCAAUAAUGAGCUCAUUAGAGGCCAAGAAAAAGUUAAAGCUCAAAAAGAAACUUACAAAAUUACUUAUAUUCAAGUGACCCGUGUAAUGAUGAAGGGCUCAUGUUUCUGGAAGUUUGAAUAUGUAGGUUUGGCUUGUGUCAAUUUCUUAGAAACUUGUGUGCUGAUGAGUUUAUAAACCAUAAUUUUCUUCUUAAUCUUGAUGGACUUUUUGUUGUUUAGAUGAUUUUUUGGUUAGAAGUCGUUUCUAAUCAUAUGUUGGUUCAGUGGUAUGUGCAUGUGAAGGUUUUGGCAAAUGUUUUUUUGGUUGAGAAACAAUAUCAGGGACUAUUUGGGAAUUGUUAUUUCCACUUUUUUUGUCUGAUGAUUCUGCAGUAUAUGGUUGUUUGUAUAUCAUGUGAUGGAAUCUUUGAAUGGUUUGGAGAGCUUUACAGUGACACUGGUUGGACUGCAGUUGCAUAAAUGUUGAGAACUGCUUUUGGGUAGUAUGAAAUUUAUGCUUUCUUGUAUACUUAUAAGUUCAUUUCAUCUUUGUUGUGUUCUAGAAUCAUUGGUAUAUUAUAACUUAGGUACUAUUUAUUUAUCUACAAAGUAUUGACAAAUAAAAGUAUAGAUUUAUAUUAGUCUAACAUCAUCUAUCAUUUUGGAUGGAUAUGAAUGCACCACUUAAAAACAAGUGCACCCUAAAUGUCAUAUGCUGUCCCAAAACAUGCAAAGGAUAAAAUAAAUCCCAUUGAAAUAACGUCUGCAAUUGUAAAUAGAGUAACAUGCUAUAACAAGGCUUAUCUCGAAGGUCAUUGGCUGAACUACAUGCAAUAUGGUAAUUACUUUAUAUCAUAUGCCACUGUUUCCAAAUGUUAUCUUCUUGCCAUUCUCGAGAAGCUUCUUGUCAAAAUAAAGAAAUCAAUGUAGAAGUCUCAUCAAAGAUAUUACAUCUGUCUUUGGACCUUGUGAUAUUUUGUUAAUCUUUUUUAUAAGCCUAUGUUUUUAUACUUUCAAUUAUAUUAAUCAAAGAAUCGAUAUAAUUUUAUAUAUACACUUGUGGGAAUAAGCCUAUGUUGGAUAUACUUGAGGGAAUAUGGAUAUACUGCAGAAAUAUUAUGGUUAGUGAUGCAAUUUCUUCAUUUGAAGUUUGGUGUUUCAUGGUUGAUCUGAUUCUAAUCCAUUUAUUUGACAGGGUAUUCACUUUUUUGAUAGGAAAUUCCAUUCCUUCUUGAUGUACUUAUGGAAGUCUUGCAAUUUUUCCCCAUUCUGCUAGCAGCGAGCUGAAGAGAGCAAGCCCGAGUCUCAGAUAGUCAACAUGCUGCAGGAUAUUAUAGAAAUUAUUAUACUUGAUGUUAUGGUGGAUGGCCACGCGUAUCUUCAUAAUUUUAUGUUAGAUAUUACUCAAAUAUAGGUAUAGGUAGUAGUUGAAUAUAAUACAGGUUUACGACUACAAGCCUAUGUAGGAUAGGACUAGGGGACAUUAAAAUAUAUACAGGUUAAUUAACUUCUAUUAUCAUAUACCGUAUAUGUAGCUUCAACAGUAGCUUUGAUAUUUUUUAAUCGCUUUGAUAUGUAGCUUCAAUUAAACAUUACUAUUGGAAGAUUAGAAAAUAUUUUAUAUUAUCUUUGAUAUAUAUAACAGUAGCUAAGUAAUAUAUUUUUUAAUUUUAUAAAUAUGUUAUUUGUGAGCAGAAUAAAA